CGUAUUGGUGGAUCUGGCUGUGCCACUUCCUAUUUAACGUCACCAGUCCCAUGGGUGCGUAAUUGCUGUCUUCCGGGGUGCCUGUUUGGUUUGGUGGCGCGAUGCGCGAGGAGUUGAAGUGCGUUAUGAAAGUAUGAAUGUUUGGACUGUUGCGUGCUCAUCGUUGACUGCCGUCCUGCAACGGCGUGUGUGAGCGGUCGGGGUAACCAAAGGACGACCGUGGUUGAUUGUGGUUGCUACACUCCUCUUUGCCCUAUUCUAUUCCAUUCGCCUGGUGAGGUGGCGGUUUGGAUAGGCUGCGCCCCUGCCAGGUUGCUGUCUUGUCCACCUGUGUUGUUCCGGUGUGCGUCAUUCUCCGUGCAUCCAAGCCAGCGACGGUGACGGUCGCUGGUUUCCCCCCACGACGCGCAGUCAGCCCACUGCGCGAUACAUCUUGUAGUGCUAAUUGUAUGGACGGUCAAUAAGCC
Engraulis encrasicolus (European anchovy) is the source of this 467-nucleotide long non-coding RNA. RefSeq lists it as uncharacterized. The record is from RefSeq and is a predicted model, not a curated record. Lineage: Eukaryota; Metazoa; Chordata; Actinopteri; Clupeiformes; Engraulidae. The transcript is spliced from 3 exons.